This is a long non-coding RNA of Bombus pyrosoma, 2091 nucleotides long. RefSeq lists it as uncharacterized. The record is from RefSeq and is a predicted model, not a curated record. Lineage: Eukaryota; Metazoa; Arthropoda; Insecta; Hymenoptera; Apidae. The transcript is spliced from 3 exons.
GUGGCUGACAAAACGUGCAUAAUAUUAACGGGCAGCGAUAUAAUUCAAGAGAAACAGCUAUUAAACUUGCUCGGACUGCCGAUUUGAAUAAGGAAAGAGAACGUGGAAGAUUCGCAAGCACUUGGAACUAUUACAUCGUUGGAAACGUGGAAUAUUAUGCUUCCGGGGGCACUCUAUAAAUAAACAUCGGCUAAAUGAAGUAACUGUUCGCAUCUAUAGCUGUGUUCCAUGAAGUGGGUAAUUCGCAAACAGUAGACGCGUUGCUCUCGUAUAUCGCAAACAAAAAGUCGUUUCGAUUGGUAGUCACAGGAAAAAUAAAUGAAACGAAUGGAAAAUGUAACGCGUUGUCAUUAAACUUAGCGAUAGCGAUUAAAAGAAAAGUAAAGUGAUAGUAAAAACGUUGCAAAACGAAACUAAACACAGUUAAACCUCUAGCCGCACGCUAAUCUUAGUUCUCAUUGAACGAGUACGAGCCCCUGUUAAUAGCUCUUAGCGCGUUUUAAUGCUCGAAUCAUGUUUCGUAACAUGCUGCUUUCCUCGCAAUCUUCCAUAGACGCUGGCAAUGGCUGCAAACGAUCGGAGAGAAUCAAUCCGGUUCUUAUAAUGAAACACGUAACAUUUUAAAUCGAAGCGAAAGAAAUGAGGAAAAAUGAGAUUUACUGUUGAAAAAUUUGAAGAAGAUAUGAAGUAAUCGUAGACACACAAUUUUACAUUGCAAUUUUGUUCUUCAAACAUUACAAAUCUUUUUAUUUGCUGGAACGAAAGAAAGAUUGAGACAUAAAGAUUCGAUAAUAAGAUUAAUUUGUUAAGGUCUUUUUUUAACUUAUGUACCUAAUUUGUAGAAAAAUUUCUAUAAAAAGAUUACUAAAUAUAAGAAUAGAAUAAAAUAAUAGAUAUUCACUGAAUGUCUAACGAUCUAAACUAAACAGCAGUUGUACAAUAUUGCUCAAAUAUGAUGUAUGAAUGAAUUUCUUUGUAUCCCACUUCAAGAUACUUUAAACGCACGUGAAUACAUAUUUUGUGCCGUGAUUUAAUGCGAAAACCAAUAUAUUUAUUAUCGUUAGACAGAACACAAUAAACGUAAUAAACGGCAGAAGUGUGUGUAGAUUUAUGACAAAUUCUUCGUUUAAUUUAUUUACUUUUUUCCUCCAUAGUUAGGUAUAGUAGAUUGUAGGAGUUAUUUACGGAAUGUUUUUGAAUAAAGUAGCUGUACGUAAAUAAAGCCAAACUGCUUUGUAUAUCACGAAUAAAGUCAACAUUAAGAUUAUAAAAACUUUAAACAAAAUGUCUGUUAACUUAAUUUCUUACAUGAAAUAACAUAUUUUAUUUAUGUAAAAAUAUAAUAGUACUUCGAUAAAAAUAAUAAAUGAAAGAAGCUAUAUGAAAGGCUUUCUUACAACCUAAUAAUACCGAUAUGUUAUCAACAUAUGUAGGUAUGUAUAUAUGUCUCAGAAGAAAAAAAUAUCUAAUUAUAUUGAUACAUUAAUUGUUUACCGCUAACAUGAUUACCAUCUUAUCGAAAUUUAUGUCUCAUUAAGAUCUUUCUUUUCAAUUUGUAUGCAAAAAUUUAAUUUAUUAAAUAACAAAUACAUCAUAAUGUAAUUUUAACAUUAAUAUGUUACUUAACCAGAUUUUAGCUCUUUCUGUAAUUAGAUAACGUUUUUACAUAACGUUUGAUAUUCUAAUAUAACAAACGAGUUUGCAUAUUCUUUAAACAAUUAAUGAGACAGCAGAUAGCUAUAAAACUAGAUAUACCAUGACUUAUGCAUACAAUAAUUUCCUAUCGAUCAUUUUUUUCCUGCGAAUUAAAAGGCAACGAGUUCAAUAUCAUCGAUACAUUAUGAUACAUUAAGAUAGAUAUGAGAUAACCAGUGAGGUAAUGGAAUUUAAAAGAACAAGUUUUAACAACAUUAAUGCCAAAUGAUAUGAAAAAUGUUCCUGGCAAGAUAACACGAUUCAGCAGAUUCUAUGUAAACAAGAAAAAUAAACGUUCUAAAAACAUGUCGAUGCAUGUGGAAAAUUUGCAUUGAAAUAUUAAAGAUACUUAUUCGAGAAAAAUAAAAAAUACGCUGCAUUUCUUUGAUAUUUCGG